CCUACGGGUGGCUGCAGUGGGGAAUAUUGGACAAUGGGCGAAAGCCUGAUCCAGCCAUGCCGCGUGUGUGAAGAAGGCCUUCGGGUUGUAAAGCACUUUCAGUGGGGAAGAAAGCCUUGGGGCUAAUACCCUCGAGGAAGGACAUCACCCACAGAAGAAGCACCGGCUAACUCCGUGCCAGCAGCCGCGGUAAUACGGAGGGUGCGAGCGUUAAUCGGAAUUACUGGGCGUAAAGCGCGCGUAGGCGGUCUGAUAAGCCGGUUGUGAAAGCCCCGGGCUCAACCUGGGAACGGCAUCCGGAACUGUCAGGCUAGAGUGCAGCAGAGGAAGGUAGAAUUCCCGGUGUAGCGGUGAAAUGCGUAGAGAUCGGGAGGAAUACCAGUGGCGAAGGCGGCCUUCUGGACUGACACUGACGCUGAGGUGCGAAAGCGUGGGUAGCAAACAGGAUUAGAUACCCUAGUAGUC
This 465-nucleotide ribosomal RNA is filed under the name Vreelandella stevensii. RNAcentral describes it as "partial 16S ribosomal RNA". It matches the Rfam family "Bacterial small subunit ribosomal RNA", at positions 338 to 795 of the family's 1533-position model. Lineage: Bacteria; Pseudomonadati; Pseudomonadota; Gammaproteobacteria; Oceanospirillales; Halomonadaceae. The record is from RNAcentral.